GGGUCAGUAGGUUGGUCGUGCCACCGGUACGUACUGGUCUCACUGAUCCCUCCUUCCUGAAGAACCGUAAUGCCAUUAAUUUGGUGUUGCGGGGAAACAGGACUGUUACUUUGAAAAAAUUAGAGUGUUUAAAGCAAGCUAACGCUUGAAUACAUUAGCAUGGAAUAAUGAAAUAGGACGAUCGAUCCUGUUUUGUUGGUUUCUAGGAUUGACGUA
Molecule: ribosomal RNA, 216 nt
Filed under: Glomeromycotina sp.
Lineage: Eukaryota; Fungi; Glomeromycota
Description: partial small subunit ribosomal RNA
Rfam family: Eukaryotic small subunit ribosomal RNA (bases 75-216)
Source: RNAcentral